CCUAGGGAGGCUGCAGUGGGGAAUAUUGGGCAACGGGCGCAAGCCUGACCCAGCAACGCCGCGUGAAGGAAGAAGGCUUUCGGGUUGUAAACUUCUUUUAAGAGGGAAGAGCAGAAGACGGUACCUCUUGAAUAAGCCACGGCUAACUACGUGCCAGCAGCCGCGGUAAUACGUAGGUGGCAAGCGUUGUCCGGAUUUACUGGGUGUAAAGGGCGUGUAGCCGGGCUGACAAGUCAGAUGUGAAAUUCCGGGGCUCAACCCCGGACCUGCAUUUGAAACUGUUGGUCUUGAGUAUCGGAGAGGCAGGCGGAAUUCCUAGUGUAGCGGUGAAAUGCGUAGAUAUUAGGAGGAACACCAGUGGCGAAGGCGGCCUGCUGGACGACAACUGACGGUGAGGCGCGAAAGCGUGGGGAGCAAACAGGAUUAGAUACCCGAGUAGUC
RNAcentral lists this ribosomal RNA (441 nucleotides) under uncultured bacterium. Its description in RNAcentral is "partial 16S ribosomal RNA". It matches the Rfam family "Bacterial small subunit ribosomal RNA", at positions 338 to 795 of the family's 1533-position model. The record is from RNAcentral.